RNAcentral lists this long non-coding RNA (594 nucleotides) under Monodelphis domestica (gray short-tailed opossum). RNAcentral describes it as "lncRNA (ENSMODG00000039401.1)". The record is from RNAcentral. Lineage: Eukaryota; Metazoa; Chordata; Mammalia; Didelphimorphia; Didelphidae.
GUCCGCUGCACUGCCCCCUCCAUCUACCCUGUCCCAGCUGUCCCCUCCUGUGGUUGUCUUUAUUGAGGGGACUAUAUGCUGCUGCCUUUUCACAGUGCCCACGUAGCAGGCGCUUUAUAAAUGUUAGUCACUUAGUUAUUAUUACUUCUAUCAUUAACCCAAGCAGAGCCACCCUGAACAAAGUUCCAGAGUCAAAUUUGUCCUAUUAAAUGUAGGCCAUUUUAUUGUUAUUUUAAACAUAAAACUCAUGUCUGUUGCCAGUUGCAAAGGCAACUAGACUGGAUCCAGAUCCCCAUCGUGGGGUCCUCGUGAAAGGCCUAAGCCUCCUCAUCUCCCCACGACCCCCACCAGCUAGGCUGGGGAGAAGGCUGGGCGGGGUGCCAGGCCCCCCCGAAAUGGUGGCAGGUCCCAGAGCCGGGUCAGGAGGCUGGUGGCAAUGGCGCACUAGAGGCCCCUCCCGUGCGGCUCCUCGGAGAAAGCCCAGAACCGCCAUGGAGAAUCUGCCAAGAAAGACUAGCUGAGACUUGACAUCACAUGAAGAAUUUAUUUAGAAAGGACUUUAAUUUGGUAAGUCACCUCCAUAUCUUAGCUUCU